AGAGUGUAGGCUUGCUGCUAUCUCUUACCCAUGUCUUUUGAGUACUUACGUUUCCUCGGUGGGUUCGCCCGCCGAUUGGACAAUUUAAACCCUUUGCAGUUGCAAUCAGCGUCUGAAAAACAUAAUAGUUACAACUUUCAACAACGGAUCUCUUGGUUCUGGCAUCGAUGAAGAACGCAGCGAAAUGCGAUAAGUAGUGUGAAUUGCAGAAUUCAGUGAAUCAUCGAAUCUUUGAACGCACAUUGCGCCCCUUGGUAUUCCAUGGGGCAUGCCUGUUCGAGCGUCAUUUGUACCUUCAAGCUUUGCUUGGUGUUGGGUGUUUGUCUCGCCUCUGCGUGUAGACUCGCCUUAAAACAAUUGGCAGCCGGCGUAUUGAUUUCGGAGCGCAGUACAUCUCGCGCUUUGCACUCAUAACGACGACGUCCAAAAGUACAUUUUUACACUCUUGACCUCGGAUCAGGUAGGGAUACCCGCUGAACUUAAGCAUAUCAUAGACCCCGGAAAAAACCGAUUACCUAGAGGUGUAGGCUUGCCUGCUAUCUCUUACCCAUGUCUUUGAGUACUUACGUUUUCCUCGGUGGG
Molecule: ribosomal RNA, 582 nt
Filed under: Microsphaeropsis olivacea
Lineage: Eukaryota; Fungi; Ascomycota; Dothideomycetes; Pleosporales; Didymellaceae
Description: eukaryotic LSU rRNA
Rfam family: 5.8S ribosomal RNA (bases 133-286)
Source: RNAcentral